RNAcentral lists this long non-coding RNA (257 nucleotides) under Capra hircus (goat). RNAcentral describes it as "lncRNA (ENSCHIG00000006939.1)". The record is from RNAcentral. Lineage: Eukaryota; Metazoa; Chordata; Mammalia; Artiodactyla; Bovidae.
GUUCAAAUGGCCAAAGGUUGAACUUUUACUUGUGGAUUUUAUAUUCUCUUAAAAGCAAGUUAAAUGGUAACCUGCAUUUCAGUUUAUUCAAAGUAUUGGCCUGACCCCCAACACGGAACAGAAGAAAUGGAUCAGUGUUGAGAGAAUUACGUACAUCGCACAGUGACAGCCUCCGCCCAGAAGAAUAUGUGAGACAACUGCAAAUCAGAAACUAAAUGACAUUAUAGUUUGCCAGGUCAGUGCUUGACUUGCUUUUC